AAUAAAUAUAGCCAUGGGUUUUCGCGCUUAACUUUGAUCGUCCGUCUUAUUUAAUUUUUUUAUAUAUAAUUAGCAUUUUUGUUGCUAUGAGAUGAUAAAGCAUGAAUAGUACUUUACUCGUGACUUAUGUUUUUAAUUUUUUUCAAAAAAUUUUCAAAUAAGAUGAACGGUCAAAGUUGGGCGCGGAAAACCAUGGUUGCACUUACU
Molecule: microRNA precursor, 207 nt
Organism: Oryza sativa Japonica Group (Japanese rice)
Lineage: Eukaryota; Viridiplantae; Streptophyta; Magnoliopsida; Poales; Poaceae
Rfam family: MIR812 microRNA precursor family
Source: Rfam